AUCGCUUCUCAGCCUUUUGGCUAAGAUCAAGUGUAGUAUGUGUUCUUAUGAGUUUAAUGUACUGUAUUGUAACUGUCUAUUUGUCUGUCUUCUUCAACAGGAUUAUGAGUUCCUUUUUGACAAGGUUUGUGUCUUUAUCUCUGCAUCCUCCAGUAGUUAGCAUGGCAUCUGGUAGAUACAUUAGGCU
Pteronotus mesoamericanus is the source of this 187-nucleotide small nuclear RNA. RefSeq annotates it as U2 spliceosomal RNA. Lineage: Eukaryota; Metazoa; Chordata; Mammalia; Chiroptera; Mormoopidae. The record is from RefSeq and is a predicted model, not a curated record. The transcript has a single exon.